AGUGAACGCUGGCGGUAGGCCUAACACAUGCAAGUCGAACGGCAGCACAGUAAGAGCUUGCUCUUACGGGUGGCGAGUGGCGGACGGGCGAGGAAUACAUCGGAAUCUACUUUUUCGUGGGGGAUAACGUAGGGAAACUUACGCUAAUACCGCAUACGACCUACGGGUGAAAGCAGGGGAUCUUCGGACCUUGCGCGAUUGAAUGAGCCGAUGUCGGAUUAGCUAGUUGGCGGGGUAAAGGCCCACCAAGGCGACGAUCCGUAGCUGGUCUGAGAGGAUGAUCAGCCACACGGGAACGGAGACACGGUCCAGACUCCGACGGGAGGCACCAGUGGGGAAUAUUGGACAAUGGGCGCAAGCCUGAUCCAGCCAUACCGCGUGGGUGAAGAAGGCCUUCGGGUUGUAAAGCCCUUUUGGUGGGAAAGAAAAGCAGCAGGUUAAUACCCCGCUGUUCUGACGGUACCCAAAGAAUAAGCACCGGCUAACUUCGUG
RNAcentral lists this ribosomal RNA (492 nucleotides) under uncultured bacterium. RNAcentral's name for it is "partial 16S ribosomal RNA". It matches the Rfam family "Bacterial small subunit ribosomal RNA", at positions 29 to 507 of the family's 1533-position model. The record is from RNAcentral.